This is a long non-coding RNA of Bicyclus anynana (squinting bush brown), 1870 nucleotides long. RefSeq lists it as uncharacterized. Lineage: Eukaryota; Metazoa; Arthropoda; Insecta; Lepidoptera; Nymphalidae. The record is from RefSeq and is a predicted model, not a curated record. The transcript is spliced from 3 exons.
ACAUACUAAAAUUAUGACCUCUAUAAAACGGAGGUUUAAUUCGUAAAUAGAAUCAUCACAGGUGGAUUCGAGUACUUAAGAAAGGCCCUGAUUGUAUGAUAAAAAAUUUAAAUUGUCUUGUCUGUGGAAUGCGUAUUUUUUUAUUUAGUUUUGAGCUGCGUCUGCAAAAAAGAAUAUUAACAUUGAUUAUUGUACUGAAUUAUUUUAUUUUCUCGCAACCGUAGUGAAAAGUAUAGUGUAAAAAGCGGGGCUAAACCCAUUAUAAACUCCGUUUCUAUUUAGCAGCCCUCGCCUUGCGGCUCGUGCCUUAAAAAUACCUCGUAUGUAGGUCUUUUUAGCCCCUUGUUUAACAAUCUACUAUUUAAAAGCAACACACUAAAUAUUACUAUGGAUAUACUACAAUGAUGAUGUUGUUUACUCAUUUUCAGGCUAUCAUGAGCGUGAUGUACGAAUACGUACAGUGCUCAGUAAUCACUGAUGUGUUGGGGGAUUUAAACAAUGUUGUCGGAAAUCUCGUUGAGGGACUAAACUCUACAGGGCAGCAGCUAGCGAAGGAUGUAGUGGGUGACCCUUCGAGCUAGACUAAAUACUGGAUCAUCGACAUUGUUUGCUGCACUGAAGUAGAAUCAACGAGUAGAAACAUGUACACCAAAAAUACUCAACAUCUCAAACGGGCUGUUUAACUACCAAUCUUUGCCUAUGGGGACAAAUUGAAAAAAAAAAAAAACACCAAAGACGAAAACCUCCUUGCAAAUUCCCAUAAUGAAAAUACUCAACAUCUCAAGCGGGCUGUAUAGCUACCAAUCUUUGCCUAUGGGGACAAAUUGAAAAAAAAAACACCAAAGACGAAAACCUCCUUGCAAAUUCCUUGUAAUAUAAAUUAGAAAAACUAUUCAACAAGGAAGCUAAUUUUGCUGAAACGAUUAUUUUGUACUUUCUGGUUCUGAGUUUUUUUUUUAUAAUAGACUUAUAUAUAUUUGUCCCAUGCGCAUACAAUAAUUUGGUAGUACAUUGUUCAUCUUACUUUGCUGACACUAUUUUAUGGGCAGCUAUGAAUAUUAUGCUUACCCUUGGCUUUGUUAAAAUUGGUUACGAAAGUUAUUGCAAUAAAUAUUUUAUUUUCUCAUUUACCUAUUGUAUUUUUAUUUUUGACGGACGCCCUUAGAAUUUUAGUAAAUCGGUCUAUUCGUUUUUGAACGAUGCUUAAUUUAUUUUUUUUACUAAUUCCGCGGGAACCAAUGAUUUUACCGGAACAAACAGUAGCAUAUAUCUAUUGCAUGAGACGUGAGUCCAGUGGACAUGACCUCUGCCUUCGAUUUAGAGGGCGUAGGUUCUAAUUCGGUCAACUUCAACCCGUCAGAUAAGUAGAAACUAGAAAAAAAACAUACAUACAGCCGAACGUAGAACCUCCUCCUUUUUGGAAGUCGGUUAAUUAAAUAUCACGUGUCUCAAACGGUAAAGGAAAAAUAUCGUGAGGAACCCGGCAUUCUUGGCAAUUUUCUUUGUGUGACGUCUGCCAAUACGCAUUGGGCCAGCGUGGUGGACUACCUACUAGUCUACUCCUCUCAUUCUGAGAAGACCCGUGCUCAGCAAUGAGCCGAAUUAAAUAACCGACUCACAUUUAUAAAAAUACUAGCGGACGCCCGCGACUUCGUCCGCGUGAAACUCGAUGUAAACUUUAAACUUCCCCUACCCUACGUUGAAAUUUUUCCUGAAUUUUCUUUGCUAUAAACCUCACGGAGCCCGAGACCUUUCCAAUGAAUGCAAAACCGUGGAAAUCGGUUCGUGCGUUUUGGAGUUAUAGCGUCAGGAAGGAAAACCCGACUUAUUUUUUUUUUUUAAAUUAUCCUAUGUCCUUCUCCUGGCUCUA